This is a non-coding RNA of Ictidomys tridecemlineatus (thirteen-lined ground squirrel), 72 nucleotides long. The record is from Rfam. Lineage: Eukaryota; Metazoa; Chordata; Mammalia; Rodentia; Sciuridae.
GGGGGUAUAGCUCAGUGGCAGAGCACUUGUCUUGCACAUGUGAGGCACUGAGUUCGAUCCUCAGCACCACAU